UCCUAGCAGGCAGCGCCGGCUGUACUUCAGGCUGAGUUAAUUGUGGUGGGGUUUCUUGCGUUUGGGGUGUCCUGAUGCGAGGUGGGAUCUGUGGAGUUUGAUCUUUCUGUAUCUCAUCAGUGCCUGCCUUGGUGGGUGAUGGGCUGGGGGACAAGGACAAAUCAACAGAGGUUUGGAGAGGACGAGAUGAGUCUUCGGACACCAUGCUAAUCUCAGAGCGAGUAAAAAUUCCACACAACCGGCCGAUUCUGUACAUCUUCUGUCAGCAAGGAAGAUCGUCUGGUCAGAAGUCUCACAGAACUCCAUGAAGAAGAAGAAGAAAAAAACUAACAACGCUGGUGGUCUGCUGGACCAGGAGCUGCUGCUGAUCUCCGACUAAGCUUUUCCACACCGCAUCAGCUCAUCUCAGUCACCAAUAUAAUGAUCCUGUGCAUCCAAUAAACAAUCAAGCUUCAA
Molecule: long non-coding RNA, 456 nt
Organism: Amphiprion ocellaris (clown anemonefish)
Lineage: Eukaryota; Metazoa; Chordata; Actinopteri; Pomacentridae
Exons: 3
Source: RefSeq, a predicted model, not a curated record